Molecule: ribosomal RNA, 442 nt
Filed under: uncultured Hyphomicrobiales bacterium
Lineage: Bacteria; Pseudomonadati; Pseudomonadota; Alphaproteobacteria; Hyphomicrobiales
Description: bacterial SSU rRNA
Rfam family: Bacterial small subunit ribosomal RNA
Source: RNAcentral
UUCCUACGGGUGGCUGCAGUGGGGAAUAUUGGACAAUGGGCGCAAGCCUGAUCCAGCCAUGCCGCGUGAGUGAUGAAGGCCCUAGGGUUGUAAAGCUCUUUUAACGGGGAAGAUAAUGACGGUACCCGUAGAAUAAGCCCCGGCUAACUUCGUGCCAGCAGCCGCGGUAAUACGAAGGGGGCUAGCGUUGCUCGGAAUCACUGGGCGUAAAGCGCACGUAGGCGGACUCUUAAGUCGGUGGUGAAAUCCUGGAGCUCAACUCCAGAACUGCCUUCGAUACUGGGAGUCUCGAGUUCGGGAGAGGUGAGUGGAACUGCGAGUGUAGAGGUGAAAUUCGUAGAUAUUCGCAAGAACACCAGUGGCGAAGGCGGCUCACUGGCCCGAUACUGACGCUGAGGUGCGAAAGCGUGGGGAGCAAACAGGAUUAGAUACCCCAGUAGUC